AUUGAAGGCUGAAAUUCGCCUUCAUGAAGCUGGAAUUGCUAGUAAUGGCAGGUCAGCAUACUGCCGUGAAUACGUUCCCGGGCCUUGUACACACCGCCCGUCACACCGUGAGAGUUGGGAAUACCCGAAGCCUGUGAGCUAACUGUAAGGAGGCAGCAGUCGAAGGUAGAAUCAAUGAUUGGGGUGAAGUCGUAACAAGGUAGC
RNAcentral lists this ribosomal RNA (204 nucleotides) under uncultured bacterium. RNAcentral's name for it is "partial 16S ribosomal RNA". It matches the Rfam family "Bacterial small subunit ribosomal RNA", at positions 1297 to 1500 of the family's 1533-position model. The record is from RNAcentral.